GUCUGGAGAGGCGAGGCCGCAGCCCAGGGCUGGAGGUGGGGUUGGGGGAACUCGGCCCGGGGCCCCCAGAGGUAGGUGGCAGUGGGUGGGGGACUGGGGAGCAGCCAGGCCCUCCCAGGGACCUGAAUGGGAAGGGGGCUGGUGGCUUGGGGGCUGGGGACGGUCCAGAAAGAUUUGAAGCUGGGCCGACACAGCCCUUGAUGUGGGGAAUGUCCUAGAAAGGAGGAAGCCACGGGGGCAGGGAGCACGGGGACUCGGAGGCCUUGGGGUCCAAGGGGAGCCGAGGGGAGCUGUCAAGGCCCACAGUGGCUGAACCAUGAGGAGCUGCUCCCCAGCAAGGCCGGCUGCAGGGCUUGGUGGGCCUGGGCUGGGCGGAAGGCUCCUCCCAGCGUGGGGGCUGCUGUGGGGACAGCAAGGAGGGGUGCAGCGAGGGCCUGGAGAAGGCUCAGGUGCAGACCCUCAGCCGUGGGGCCUCCUCCAGUCGCCCCACAGCCUGGGCCUGGCACCCCCCCACCAAGCCAGAGGGGCCGAAUGCCAGGGCACCUCAGCUACACAAAGGCUCGGACCCCUAGCAGGACCUGGGCACCGCGGCUGACUGGCUGCCUGACGGAGAAUGGAGCCUCUCUGUCACCUGGGCCAACAUGAAUGACCCUUCGUCUGGUGUCUCUGGGGUUCUGGCUGGAGAGCCAAAGGCUGGAAGGUCUGGACCCGCUGCUCACUGGGGUCUGGAUGCCACCGUGGAGCUGCCUCUGGCGCAGCGGGAGAACAAGCAGAGCCACCCUGGUCGUGGGGACGGCACCCGUGUGGCCGGGGCUGUAGCCAGUGAGGCCUUGGUGACGGGAGCGGCUGGAGUGCCACGCGGUGUCCCCCGUGGUCCCACAGCAGCCCUCACACCAUCAACCGGUCCACCGCGUCCCAGCCAUCCCAGGAGGGGGCGGGGACAUCUCUGCAGUGACAGGAAUCGGCUAGGCGCUGGCACCUGUGCGCAGCCGCUCGGCCAGGGUUUAUGUGCUCGGCGGAGACAGCCCUGGGGGUGAGGAGCGAAGGGAGAUCCGAUUCAGGGGCCACUUGGGGCUAAGCCAUGUACGUAUGGCCGAGGCCCUAAGUGAGAGCUGGCCCAGGGCUAGAUCACGUGGCCGUCGAGGCCCGGCCUGCCGCACGGUGGCCACCAGCCAGAGCCCUUGCCGCCCACCCUUCCCAUCCGCCGGGACGCCAGCCUCAGGAGUGGGGUCAGAUGGGGCCUGUGGCCGGGCUCCUCAGCCACUGCCCACUGAGCUCUCGGCCCCCCGGCCAGCGCCUUGGCCACCACUGGUAUAGCUGGAUUCCUGGGAACACCUAGAAACCGGGCUGCUUGGAAACACUGUGGCGUUGCCAUGUGGGGCUCUUCCUCCGCCCGCCAGGGAGGCUGUCCCCGGUGCCCGGUGCUGUGGCCCACACCCGCCAGGUUGCAGAACGUGUGUCCCCCUGGCGAGGCCCCCCAGAACCGUGUUUUUUUUUUUCUAAAGGAGCUGACUCGGGGCCAAGCACAUUCCUCCCGGCCCCCGAGGCUUGCUCUUGUCCAGCCCUGGGAACGCACAGGCGGCCGAGCCCGUGGCCUGGCCGAGGAGGCCGCCGCUCUGCGAGGGGAGCGCUGUUUUCCAGGCCGGCGUCUGGAAUGUUGCUCUGCCUUGCGGUGUGAGCCGACUCCUGCCCCCAUUUCAGCUGCGGCCGC
This 1711-nucleotide long non-coding RNA is filed under the name Homo sapiens (human). RNAcentral's name for it is "non-protein coding lnc-PEX10-8:1". Lineage: Eukaryota; Metazoa; Chordata; Mammalia; Primates; Hominidae. The record is from RNAcentral.